GAUGAACGCUAGCGGGAGGCUUAACACAUGCAAGUCGAGGGGCAUCACGAGGUAGCAAUACUUUGGUGGCGACCGGCGCACGGGUGAGUAACGCGUAUGCAACCUACCCUGUACAGUGGGAUAACCCGGAGAAAUUCGGACUAAUACCGCAUAAAGAUAUUUUGAGGCAUCUUAAGAUAUUUAAAGCUUAGGUGGUACGGGAUGGGCAUGCGUAACAUUAGCUGGUUGGUAGGGUAACGGCCUACCAAGGCGAUGAUGUUUAGGGGACCUGAGAGGGUGAUCCCCCACACUGGUACUGAGACACGGACCAGACUCCUACGGGAGGCAGCAGUGAGGAAUAUUGGUCAAUGGGCGGAAGCCUGAACCAGCCAUCCCGCGUGCAGGAAGACAGCCCUAUGGGUUGUAAACUGCUUUUCCAGUGGGCGAAACACUCGUACGUGUACGAGAUUGACGGUACACUGGGAAUAAGCAUCGGCUAACUCCGUGCCAGCAGCCGCGGUAAAAGUCACG
RNAcentral lists this ribosomal RNA (510 nucleotides) under uncultured bacterium. Its description in RNAcentral is "bacterial SSU rRNA". It matches the Rfam family "Bacterial small subunit ribosomal RNA", at positions 28 to 531 of the family's 1533-position model. The record is from RNAcentral.